GGAGUUAGCCGGUGCUUCUUCUGCGAGUAACGUCACAGAUGUAAGGUAUUAACUUACACCCUUUCCUCCUCGCUGAAAGUGCUUUACAACCCGAAGGCCUUCUUCACACACGCGGCAUGGCUGCAUCAGGGUUUCCCCCAUUGUGCAAUAUUCCCCACUGCUGCCUCCCGUAGGAGUCUGGGCCGUGUCUCAGUCCCAGUGUGGCUGAUCAUCCUCUCAGACCAGCUAGGGAUCGUCGCCUAGGUGAGCCUUUACCUCACCUACUAGCUAAUCCCACCUGGGCUUAUCCAUCAGCGCAAGGCCCUAAGGUCCCCUGCUUUCCCCCGUAGGGCGUAUGCGGUAUUAGCAGUCGUUUCCAACUGUUAUCCCCACAAAUGGGCAAAUUCCCAGGCAUUACUCACCCGUCCGCCGCUCGUCAUCUUCAAAAGCAAGCUUUUGAAAUGUUACCGCUCGACUUGCAUGUGUUAGGCCUGCCGCCAGCGUUCAAUCUGAGCCAGGAUCAAACUCUGA
RNAcentral lists this ribosomal RNA (510 nucleotides) under uncultured bacterium. RNAcentral describes it as "partial 16S ribosomal RNA". The record is from RNAcentral.